GGUCCAUGACCCACACCCAGAAUGAUGUACAAGGGGAUGGGAGUUGUAGCCCACAUAAAUUAAGGUAAUGAAGCUGUGGCAUGUGGCAAGAAUAAAAAAUUCAGAACGUGAGUAUUGAUGUAUACAUUAUAGCGUUAUCAAUGUGAUUGUCUACAUGUCGCUCCCAUUAAAAUGAAAAAAAAAAACCAAGACAAGACCUGGGGAGACUUAAAGGUAAGGAGGCAAUGCAACAAAGCAUCAGAAAAAGUAAGCUGGGUGCUGGGUUUUAUAGCUAGACCCAUUAGUAGCAGAGAGAGGUAGGUGGUUAUAUCACUUUACAUAUCUCAGAGACUUAGAUGUAAUGAAAGAAAGUUUUUUACUUUACUCAGAGGGUGAAUGCGGAGCAGCCUCACAUUAGAAGUGGUAGAGGCUAAUAUAAUGAUGGAAUUUAAACAUACAUGUAUAGGAAAAUUGCUAUGCUGAAUCAAGGUUUCAGUCUU
This is a long non-coding RNA of Spea bombifrons (plains spadefoot toad), 479 nucleotides long. RefSeq lists it as uncharacterized. NCBI's taxonomy places the organism in Eukaryota, Metazoa, Chordata, Amphibia, Anura, Pelobatidae. The transcript has 2 exons. The record is from RefSeq and is a predicted model, not a curated record.